AGUAAAUAGAUACCCGGUAGUCCAUGCUGUAAACGAUGGAUGCUAGCUGUGAUGCGUAUCGACCCGCGUCGUAGCGAAGCUAACGCGUUAAGCAUCCCGCCUGUGGAGUACGGCCGCAAGGCUAAAACAUAGAGGAAUUGACGGGGACCCGCACAAGCGGUGGAGCGUGUUGUUUAAUUCGAUGGUAAGCGAAGAACCUUACCCAGGUUUGACAUCCUUGGAAGUUCUGCGAAAGCAGAGUGUGCCUUCGGGAACCAAGUGACAGGUGAUGCAUGGCCGUCUUCAGCUCGUGUCGUGAGACGUUAGGUUAAGUCCUUCAACGAGCGCAACCCUUAUAGUUAGUUGUAUUUUCUAGCUAGACUGCCCUGGUAACAGGGAGGAAGGAGGGGACGAUGUCAGGUCAGUAUCUCCCUUAUAUCUGGGGCUACAAACACGCUACAAUGGCCGGUACAAAGGGAAGCCAACCCGCGAGGGGAGCAAAUCCCAUCAAAGCCGGUCCCAGUUCGGAUUGUAGGCUGAAACUCGCCUGCAUGAAGCU
This 538-nucleotide ribosomal RNA is filed under the name uncultured bacterium. RNAcentral's name for it is "bacterial SSU rRNA". It matches the Rfam family "Bacterial small subunit ribosomal RNA", at positions 774 to 1327 of the family's 1533-position model. The record is from RNAcentral.